RNAcentral lists this ribosomal RNA (499 nucleotides) under uncultured bacterium. Its description in RNAcentral is "bacterial SSU rRNA". It matches the Rfam family "Bacterial small subunit ribosomal RNA", at positions 947 to 1456 of the family's 1533-position model. The record is from RNAcentral.
UNAUUCGAUGAUACGCGAGGNACCUUACCAGGGCUUGAAAGUUAGUGAAGAAUGUGGAAACAUGUUCGUCAGCAAUGACACGAAACUAGGUGCUGCAUGGCUGUCGUCAGCUCGUGCCGUGAGGUGUUGGGUUAAGUCCCGCAACGAGCGCAACCCCCAUCUUUAGUUGCUAGCAGGUAAUGCUGAGGACUCUAAAGAAACUGCCUACGCAAGUAGUGAGGAAGGCGGGGACGACGUCAAGUCAUCACGGCCCUUACGUCCUGGGCCACACACGUGCUACAAUGGUCGGUACAGAGGGCAGCUACCGGGUGACCGGAUGCGAAUCUCUAAAGCCGAUCUCAGUUCGGAUUGGAGUCUGCAACUCGACUCUAUGAAGCUGGAAUCGCUAGUAAUCGCGCAUCAGCCAUGGCGCGGUGAAUACGUUCCCGGGCCUUGUACACACCGCCCGUCAAACAAUGGAAGCUGGGGGUGCCUGAAGUCGGUAACCGAAAGGAGCUGC